This 1278-nucleotide long non-coding RNA is filed under the name Canis lupus familiaris (dog). RNAcentral describes it as "lncRNA (ENSCAFG00000055751.1)". Lineage: Eukaryota; Metazoa; Chordata; Mammalia; Carnivora; Canidae. The record is from RNAcentral.
AUGAGGAGAGUCUAUUACCUGCAUUUUACAGAUGAGGAAACUCAUGGAUGCAGAAUUCUGAGGACAUUGAGAGAAGAGCCAGAUUUCAAGUUGUUUGAACACGGAACAGAGAUAAUUGAAGAACGCGCCUCUAACCUUAAAGCAACGGCCGGCCCGGUGGAAGGCAAACGCCCUGGGGUUCACCAGUUUCACUUCACUGGUUCGCUCCUCACCGGGGAUGGAAAGCAGAAGUUCACCACAUGAAAAUAGACCCCGUUGGGCAUGCAACAGCAACACCGUCAGCAAAGCGUCUCUUCCUGUUAGUUCACUUCUUCAAUUCUCAGCUCGGCUCUUUGCAACCUAAUUAGUCGGGCUCUAUGAGAAACCCUGCCUGGCCUUGAACCGGUGGCUUUACAGUGUUUGCUGAAGCUCCUGACCGCCCAGUGUUUCGGAAAGUCUGCUCUAAAUUCCUUAAUGGGCCCUUGUGCCGGAGAAAGAACUACAGGGAAAAACCUUUCUGACCCUCUCCAGAGCUCACCUUGACCCGGGGCACCUGUCCCAGUAGUCAGUCUUCAGAGAGCGGACCUGCAAGGGACUCAGGGCGUUGGGAUGUUGCAAGAGAGCUGCCCUGAUUUUUCUUUUGCUGUUUUCCCAGUUUUCUUUCUUUUUCCUCUUUUGCUACCUCGGAAAGGCAGAGAGUGAAGCUGCUUUUUGGGUCUACUCAAUUCUUAUUCCUGUCUCCAAUCAGAAAUAAGUGGGAAAAGAAAAGAAAAGAAAGAAAGAAAGAAAGAAAGAAAGAAAGAAAGAAAGAAAGAAAGAAAGAAAGAAAGAGAAAGAAAGAAGAAAGACAGAAAGAAAGAGAGGGGGGAGGGAGAGAGAGAGAGAAAGAAGGGAGGGAGGGAGAAAGACGGAAAGAGAGAGGAAGAAAGAAAAGAAAGAAAAGGAAGGAAGAAGAAAGAAGGAAAGAAAGAUGAAAGAAAGAAAGAAAGAAAGAAAGAAAGAAAGAAAGAAAGAAAGAAAGAAAAAAAAGAAAGAGAGGAAGAAAGAAAGAAAGGAAGGAAGGAAGGAAGGAAGAAAGAAAAGGAUCAACAGUGGAAACCAGGGAAAGUCCUUGAAAGCCGGAACCUUGCUGCAGCCUCAGCAUCACACCUGAGAGCUUGUUAGCGGCCUCACCUGAAAACUUGUUAAAAAUGUAGUAUUUCAUGAUUCAUCCCAGACCUACUGAAUUAGAAUCUGCAUUUUAACAACCCCCCCCCCCCCCCGCCCCGUGAUUCCUACGUACAAUAAGGUUUGAGAAAC